Molecule: non-coding RNA, 125 nt
Filed under: Yersinia kristensenii
Lineage: Bacteria; Pseudomonadati; Pseudomonadota; Gammaproteobacteria; Enterobacterales; Yersiniaceae
Description: antisense sRNA RprA
Rfam family: RprA RNA
About the family: Translational regulation of the stationary phase sigma factor RpoS is mediated by the formation of a double-stranded RNA stem-loop structure in the upstream region of the rpoS messenger RNA, occluding the translation initiation site. Clones carrying rprA (RpoS regulator RNA A) increased the translation of RpoS.
Source: RNAcentral
AGAAGUUUAAAUAAAUCAUUUCAUGAUAGCUUCAUUUCAUAAUGGCUUAUUUAAAUAUCUGUAAUCGAAUACACGUAUUGCUGUGUGUAGUCUUUGCCUGUCACCUAAGACGGGCUUUUUUUUUG